CCCCAGUCACAGGAAUCUUUCUGGCCUCCGGAUUCCUAGUGCUCAUAUUGUAUAUAUCGUCCACAAGGUACUUAGGUACUGUUGUAUAUUGGUAUGUCCCAUAUGUGCAUGUCUUCUGUCCCCAACCAGAUUGUAAGCCCAUCUGUGUUUGCUCAGCCCUGUGUGUGCAACAGAGGUGCUGAAUGAAGACCUAUCGAUGAUUGAUUGAUACGUUAAAGAUUAUUUCCUCCUUCCUCAGAAUGCUACACUUCGCUCAUCAAUGGAGCUCAAGAUGUAAAAGUCUGGUUUAAGAGACAUUGAAUCUAUUCUGCCUUUUAUUAUCCCUUUCUUAUAAGUUGACUUUUAAGAAAUCAAUGACUGUGUGGAGAGUUCUAACUGGGUCCGUCUCCAGGCUUCUCCAUACUGCCGUGUGUCCCAUGAGGCUGGCCCAUCUGGACUGCACCAGGGAGCUCCCUUGAUCCUUGGCUUCCUGGUGGGUUUGGCCAAAGUGAAACACUGACAGGAAAGCAGAGGAUGAGAAUGAGGCCAGGGUGUCUGCUCCCCUGCUCCCUCUCUGCUGGGGCA
Molecule: long non-coding RNA, 564 nt
Filed under: Homo sapiens (human)
Lineage: Eukaryota; Metazoa; Chordata; Mammalia; Primates; Hominidae
Description: HSALNT0031202
Source: RNAcentral